Small nuclear RNA from Dromiciops gliroides (monito del monte), 107 nucleotides. The record is from RefSeq and is a predicted model, not a curated record. Lineage: Eukaryota; Metazoa; Chordata; Mammalia; Microbiotheria; Microbiotheriidae.
GUGCUUGUUUUGGCAGCACAUAUACUAAAAUUGGAAUGAUACAGAGAAGAUUAGCAUGGCCCCAGUGCAAGGAUGACACACAAAUUCAUGAAGGAAGACCCAUCUUC